ACACAAUCUUCACAAAAGAUGUGUUUACAACGAAGUAGAAUGGGAGCAUGCAUCUUCUCCUGGCAUAUAGCGCACAAAUCUCCUGCUGCAUUGACCUGCUCUGAUGUUGCAUAAGCGCCAUAAUGUACUUCUUUACGUGAUAGUGCCUUCAAAGCAGCAAAGAAAGAUUGCACCUUCUCGAAGACAGAUGUGAGCUUGAAAGUCAAGUACAAUCCUGUCAUUAGGGAUGAAAACAGGCUCCCAUAUUCCUUAUUCAAAAAGAAGCGGUACCAGACUGGUGUAGGCAACAAGGC
RNAcentral lists this unclassified non-coding RNA (293 nucleotides) under Hevea brasiliensis (rubber tree). Lineage: Eukaryota; Viridiplantae; Streptophyta; Magnoliopsida; Malpighiales; Euphorbiaceae. The record is from RNAcentral.